This 811-nucleotide long non-coding RNA is filed under the name Homo sapiens (human). RNAcentral describes it as "HSALNT0321507". Lineage: Eukaryota; Metazoa; Chordata; Mammalia; Primates; Hominidae. The record is from RNAcentral.
GUCCGAGACUCAAAGCAUGAAAAGAAUUCAUGGCACCAUUGCUGGCUUCAAGAGGGAUGAGACCAUAUGAAAGGAAUUCAGGCUAUCUCUGGAGCUGAGCACAACCCCCAGGUCACAUCCAACAAAGAAACAGGGACCUCAGUCCUAUAAACACCACCAACAGAAUGAACUUGGAAGCAGAUUUUCCCCCAGAGCAUCCAGAUAAGAACUCAGUCCACUCAACAUCUUCAGCUUUGUGAUAUUCCAGGCAUAUUGUGCUGAACUUCUGACUUACAGAACUACUGUACGCAUUGGGCAAACUAGUUUCUGCAGUUAGCGCUGUGCCCAAAAAGGCCUUGUCUCCACUCAAGCUAAAAAAAAAAGAAUCCAGAAAGCCUGGAAGAUACUUUUCCAAGAAUUUAUUUUCUGUUUAGAUUCUACCCCUGAAAGUCAGUCCUGAAAGGAUUAUAAAAGCAAGAAAGAAACAUGGACUCUAAGAAUUAACAACAGUGUGGGAAGCCACGGAGGAGAUUUAUGACUACCCUAAAUUGGUUUGUGUUUGGAUGGAUGACUAUUUCCUGCUCUUUAUUACUAGAAAUUGGCAGCAACAUCUCAGAUUGGAUAAUGGUACUGGUGGAAUAAUUACCAGAAAGAAAAAAACAUCCCCACUAAAGUGAUGAAAACAUGUACAGAUUGUCCAACCUUUUGCUUUUGUACCACUUCCCCUUCCAGAUGUCAGGGUUGUGAUUUAUUUCUCCCUAAGAGUUUAAAAAUAAAACUCUCAUCAUAAAAUUUGCCUGAUACUGAUGAAAAAUAAGAUGUAGUAAUUUAG